This 20-nucleotide microRNA is filed under the name Mus musculus (house mouse). Its description in RNAcentral is "mmu-miR-5618-5p". The record is from miRBase by way of RNAcentral. Lineage: Eukaryota; Metazoa; Chordata; Mammalia; Rodentia; Muridae.
UACCCUUUACACCGUGUAGU